AGCCCAUUAUGAGGACAUAAUAUCAACAUAUAUUUAAAUAUCUCCCACACUUCUAGAGUGAUUCACUAUCCUUAUGAGUAAAAGUAGUAAGUUGGUUUCUUAGUGU
Small nucleolar RNA from Lathyrus oleraceus (garden pea), 106 nucleotides. NCBI's taxonomy places the organism in Eukaryota, Viridiplantae, Streptophyta, Magnoliopsida, Fabales, Fabaceae. The record is from RefSeq and is a predicted model, not a curated record.